This is a long non-coding RNA of Lathyrus oleraceus (garden pea), 734 nucleotides long. RefSeq lists it as uncharacterized. The transcript is spliced from 2 exons. NCBI's taxonomy places the organism in Eukaryota, Viridiplantae, Streptophyta, Magnoliopsida, Fabales, Fabaceae. The record is from RefSeq and is a predicted model, not a curated record.
GCAAACAGAGGUGUGAUAAGUCAAGAAGGUGCAUGGCCCAAACCAGGGCCAAAACCAAAGUCCACCUGAGGAAGCAGGGGUGCAGAAGCAAUGUGGUGAUAAGGUUCAGUAAAACUACACAAGGCCCAACUCAAUUGAGCCCAAAACAAAACACAGAGGCAAGUGGAAUUCAACAUUCAAUGUAAAUGACCAUUCAAGUGAGUAAAACACGUGCGCAGCCUCUGACCAGAAAAUUCAACACUCAGAUCACCAAGCCACCAUCAUCCACCGCGCUGGAGGUCUCCUCCGCCGGCGGUGGAACACCAUAGUACAAAUUAAAACCAUCAUCGGGACCGUGACAACAUGCUUAUUUCGAAAUCGAGGUUAGUUUUAAUAGAUUGCUACCCUAAGAUCCAAAUAUAGGGGGAAAUCAUGAAGAACCUUAUAUCUUUAGGGAUAAAUUAAAUGACGAUGGUUCAUGGAUUCAUGACCAAACCUUAGGGCUAAUGGUCCCUAGAGUAUUGUCUACGAAAUGGUAACAAGAUCAUGGCAAAAAGAGAAGAAGAAUGUUUAUCUAUGAAACAGAGAUUUAUUCCAGCGAACGUUGAAUCAGAGAAGAUGAAGAUGCGACGGAAAAUCACUUGAACCAGGUUGUUUAACAGGUCAACUUUUGCAAAAAUGUAAUUUUGAUUUCUCUUUGUAAUGAAACAAUGUAUUCUUUGGUAAAUAAUUGAAAAUCAAUGUUUUGAAUGGAA